CCCUUAGAUGUUCUGGGCCGCACGCGUGCUACACUGAUGCAUUCAACGAGUCUAAAACCUGGUCUGAUAGGGCUGGGUAAUCUUUUGAAAGUGCAUCGUGAUUGGGAUAGAUGAUUGCAAUUCUUCAUCUUCAACGAGGAAUGCCUAGUAAACGCAAGUCAUCAGCUUGCAUUGAUUACGCCCCUGCCCUUUGUACACACCGCCCGUCGCUCCUACCGAUUGAAUGAUCCGAUGAAUACCAUGGAUUGAGAGUACGAAUAGGUUCGCUUAUUUCUGCUGCUCGAGAAGUGGAGUAAAUCUUAUCAUUUAGAGGAAGGAGAAGUCGUAACA
Molecule: ribosomal RNA, 330 nt
Filed under: uncultured eukaryote
Lineage: Eukaryota
Description: partial 18S ribosomal RNA
Rfam family: Eukaryotic small subunit ribosomal RNA
Source: RNAcentral